RNAcentral lists this long non-coding RNA (202 nucleotides) under Ananas comosus (pineapple). Its description in RNAcentral is "long non-coding RNA (ACOM_LNC034967)". The record is from RNAcentral. Lineage: Eukaryota; Viridiplantae; Streptophyta; Magnoliopsida; Poales; Bromeliaceae.
AGUUUUCGGGUAGGAGACAUUUUAACUAAUAGUUGUGAUUUUAUGUUUAAAUCCUGAAUGUGAACCUGUGGUGAAUGGUGUAUGGAUAUAUAUAAAUGUUUGAAUGUUUGUAUGUUCAGUGUGUGGUUGUAUGGUUGUUAUGUACCUUGUAUUCGUGCGACGCCGUGCAAAUACAGGGGAGACUCUGUCCGUGUGAAUAGUU